UGGGGAAUUUUGGACAAUGGGGGCAACCCUGAUCCAGCAAUGCCGCGUGUGUGAAGAAGGCCUUCGGGUUGUAAAGCACUUUUGUCCGGGAAGAAAUCCCCUGCCCUAAUACGGCGGGGGGAUGACGGUACCGGAAGAAUAAGCACCGGCUAACUACGUGCCAACAGCCGCGGUAAUACGUAGGGUGCGAGCGUUAAUCGGAAUUACUGGGCGUAAAGCGUGCGCAGGCGGUGAUGUAAGACCGAUGUGAAAUCCCCGGGCUCAACCUGGGAACUGCAUUGGUGACUGCAUUGCUCGAGUAUGGCAGAGGGGGGUGGAAUUCCACGUGUAGCAGUGAAAUGCGUAGAGAUGUGGAGGAACACCGAUGGCGAAGGCAGCCCCCUGGGCCAAUACUGACGCUCAUGCACGAAAGCGUGGGGAGCAAACAGGAUUAGAUACCCUGGUAGUCCACGCCCUAAACGAUGUCAACUGGUUGUCGGGCCUUCAUUGGCUUGGUAACGUAGCUAACGCGUGAAGUUGACCGCCUGGGGAGUACGGUCGCAAGAUU
Molecule: ribosomal RNA, 547 nt
Filed under: uncultured bacterium
Lineage: Bacteria
Description: partial 16S ribosomal RNA
Rfam family: Bacterial small subunit ribosomal RNA
Source: RNAcentral